CCUACGGGCGGCAGCAGUGGGGAAUAUUGCUCAAUGGGGGAAACCCUGAAGCAGCAACGCCGCGUGGAGGAUGAAGGUUUUCGGAGUGUAAACUCCUUUUGUUAGAGAAGAUAAUGACGGUAUCUAACGAAUAAGCACCGGCUAACUCCGUGCCAGCAGCCGCGGCACUACGGCGGGUGCAAACGUUACUCGGAAUAACUGGGCGUAAAGCGGGCGUAGACGGGAUAUCAAGUCAGUUGUGAAAUCCUAUGGCUUAACCAUAGAAUUGCAUUUGAAACUGUCAUUCUAGAGUAUGGGAGAGGUAGGUGGAAUUCUUGGUGUAGCGGUGAAAUCCGUAGAUAUCAAGAAGAACACCGAUUGCGAAGGCAGCUUGCUAGAACAUAACUGACGUUGAUGCACGAAAGCGUGGGGAGCAAACAGGAUUAGAUACCCCAGUAGUC
RNAcentral lists this ribosomal RNA (440 nucleotides) under uncultured bacterium. RNAcentral's name for it is "partial 16S ribosomal RNA". It matches the Rfam family "Bacterial small subunit ribosomal RNA", at positions 338 to 795 of the family's 1533-position model. The record is from RNAcentral.